RNA transcript from Chenopodium quinoa (quinoa), 2451 nucleotides. RefSeq lists it as uncharacterized. Lineage: Eukaryota; Viridiplantae; Streptophyta; Magnoliopsida; Caryophyllales; Amaranthaceae. The transcript is spliced from 3 exons. The record is from RefSeq and is a predicted model, not a curated record.
UCAUUUCUCUCAUUCAAUUUCUAGGGUCCAUGUAGUAUCAAUUUUUGCGUUUUUGGUAUGAAUUUAUUACUUGUGUGUUCAAUUGCAACUUCAGAAAGUUGUUUUCGUUCAAUUUCUAGGGUUCAUGUAGUAUCAAUUUUUGCGUUUUUUGGUAUGAAUUUAUAACUUGCGUGUUCAAUUGCAAUCUUAGAAAGUUGUUUUUGUUUGAUUUUUGAUUGUAUUAUUAUAAUUACUUCAAGUUUCAGCUACGAAUGUUAUUGUUUUAAGCUUCAAUUCAUUUGAAAUUAUUUAACAAACAUUGGAGUUUUGUAUAAUUUCUUCAUUUGGUAAUUAUAUCUAUGUUAUGAAUGUAAUAGAUUAUUGGUGGUGCUGAACAUGUCUUAUUUUGCUCCAUAUGUAUGCAUUACGAUGAGAAAGUUGCUGCUACUAUUUUGAGUAUAUAGACCAUGGUUUUCUGGUGCUAUACAUGUCUUAUUUUGCUCCAUAUGUGUAUGCAUUACAGUGAGAAAGUUACUGCUACUAUUUUGAGUAUAUAGACCAUGGUUUUUUGCUUAAUUUUGCUUGUUUCUUGAGUAGUUUACUCCUCAUGAUUUGGUUGACAAUAUUUGUUAUUUGAUUAACUAGAGAUUGAUAUAACUAUUGUUUUGCCAUUUAUCAGGUUCAAUUGCCAUUUAUUUUCUGUGUUUCUUGUACAAUGCCUCGACUUAUGCAUUCUAUAAGGAAGAAAAAUCUAAAACAAAUACAAAUAGUAAUUGCAAUGGUUAUUAUUAUGUUGAUGAUGUAUUGGAUGUGGUAUAUAAUUAGCGUUGUUACAAUAAGGGGGGUUCAAAUAAAAGAUAGGAAAAGAAACAAAAAAUUGUUACGGAUGUUAGUAUUGAGAGGGCUUUAUAGGAGAGUGAUGUGAAAUGCAAGAGUGAGCUUCGCGUUAAUAGAAAAACUUUCAAUAUUAUUUGUGAGAUGCUUAGAGACAUUGGGGGUUUGAGUGGAACAAAAAACAUGUCGCUUCAAGAGAUAGUAGCCAUGUUUUUAUACACGUUGGCUCAUCAUAAGAAGAAUAGGUCUAUUGGACAUUACUUCUAUAGAAGUGGAGAAACCGUGAGCCGGCAAUUUCACCUUUGUCUAAGGGCUUUUCUCAAGUUGCAUGAAGUACUACUUUACAAUCCCACACAAAUAUUGGAUGAUUGUGAAGAUGAAAGGUGGAAAUCCUUCAAGAAUUGUUUAGGGGCAUUAGAUGGGACUUACAUUAAUGUAAAUGUGCCUUCAAAAGAACGACCAAAGUAUAGAACAAGAAAAGGAACGAUUGCUAUGAAUGUAUUGGGUGUUUGUGCACCUAAUAUGCAAUUUAUUUAUGUUCUUCCUGGUUGGGAAGACUCGGCCCAUGAUAUGCGUGUACUUCGAAAUGCUCUUUCUAGACCAAACGGUUUUAGAGUACCUUGAGAUGGAGGCUAGUCAAGCUAAGGGUGAGGCAAGCAAUCGAGGUAGAGGUAAAAAUAAAAGGUAUUGGACGUAUGAAGCUCAGCAUCUUCUAUCAAGCUCCAAUUAAUAUGAAGAAACAAUAUGCAAUUGAUCUUCUUAAGAAGAAGUAGAAAGUUUUGUCCUAAGUUGUUGUUAUUGGAGUUAAUGUUUUAAUGGUUUUUAAAUGCUUUUUUUUUUAUUAUUAUUAUUAUUUUUUUUAGAAUACUAGAAUUUCAAUGCUUUUGUAGUCAACAACUUAUGUGACUUUGCCUAUAUAUCUAGCAUAUGAUAUAUUAUGGUAAUCGGUUCAAAAAAUAUAUAUAUGUAUAUUAUGGUAAUUAGUGUUGCUCUACAUUGUAUAAUGUAUAUCAAAAGUUAGCCAAGACAUCAAAAAUUAGAAGGAAAACUAUUUGUUUCCAAGUUAUCUAUGCCAAACAAGAGGAAAGGGAUUGAUUCCAAUUAUUUACGUUUCCUUAGUAAUACCAAACAACUAGUAAGGGUAACACUAUAUAUUACCCUUUCCCCUUCUAAUUUGUUUCCAUUCCCUUACAUUUACUAAUUUGAUACCAAACACCCCCUAAUUGUAAAAGAAAAAAGAACUAAAUACAUUCUAAUGUAGGACAUAAAAAUAUUCUCUUGUCUGAUGGUAGCAACUUUGGUGCUAUUAUAUGUUAUAAGUGGAUAAACACCUUUAGUCACCUUUUAGAUUAGUCCCCUAAAACAAGUGGUUUGGUGCAUGGAAAGAAGAGCUUGCAUUAUAAGUAUAGUUUACUAUUAUUUGAAAGGAACCGAAUAUGAAGUAUUUUGGAACAACCUAACAUAAAUGUGACACCUUAUUAUUUAGGGACGUUGAGAUAAUAAUUAUUGAGUUGUUGGUAUAGUUGAUAAUCGUGGUUCAUUGUACGCUUGUGCUUGGACAAGUAAUAUAAAUGCGUGGCCUAAUUAAGAUUAUAUUCUCCCACCCGUCAAAAAAAAAAAAAAAAAAAAAAAAAAAAA